RNAcentral lists this ribosomal RNA (503 nucleotides) under uncultured bacterium. Its description in RNAcentral is "partial 16S ribosomal RNA". It matches the Rfam family "Bacterial small subunit ribosomal RNA", at positions 30 to 523 of the family's 1533-position model. The record is from RNAcentral.
AUUGAACGCUGGCGGCAGGCUUAACACAUGCAAGUCGAGCGGGGUGAUGGUGCUUGCACUAUCACUUAGCGGCGGACGGGUGAGUAAUGCUUAGGAAUCUGCCUAUUAGUGGGGGACAACAUCUCGAAAGGGAUGCUAAUACCGCAUACGUCCUACGGGAGAAAGCAGGGGAUCACUUGUGACCUUGCGCUAAUAGAUGAGCCUAAGUCGGAUUAGCUAGUUGGUGGGGUAAAGGCCUACCAAGGCGACGAUCUGUAGCGGGUCUGAGAGGAUGAUCCGCCAAGCUGGGACUGAGACACGGGCCAGACUCCUACGGGAGGCAGCAGUGGGGAAUAUUGGACAAUGGGGGGAACCCUGAUCCAGCCAUGCCGCGUGUGUGAAGAAGGCCUUAUGGUUGUAAAGCACUUUAAGCGAGGAGGAGGCUCUUUUGGUUAAUACCCAAGAUGAGUGGACGUUACUCGCAGAAUAAGCACCGGCUAACUCUGUGCCAGCAGCAGCCGCCG